UGUUCUCUAAGGGUUCUCUGCUGUUCUCUAAAGGUUCUCUAAGGGUUCUCUAAGGGUUCUCUGCUGUUCUCUAAAGGUUCUCUAAGGGUUCUCUGCUGUUCUUUGAGGGUCAGUUCGUUUCAUUUGGUUCAAUGCCAUACUGUCACUGCCGACUGGGUUCCCGUGUAGGUAGCUAGUGGGAGUGAAAUGGGAGUGGGUGAUUUGAGGUGGUGGCCUAUGAGGGCUAUUCUGGUGUGAUUUAAAGUAAUUAGUUUUACGCUUUUUAGCAUCAACUUUACUUUACAGAGGCUGAGACAUGUCAAGCAAACGGUACUUUUGUUAUUUAAAAAAUAUUAUUAUUUAUUUUGUCUUUUGUACUUUUUUAAUUAUUUAUUUUAAAUAUUAUUAUUUAUUUAUUUAUGACUGUCUUCCCUGUGACAAUAAAAGGGGUAACAGAAUGAAGUGAUCACAGAUUGCUAUGAGUAAUUUUUUUUUCAUGUGUGUGAUCCAAUCAAGACUAUGGAGACUGC
Long non-coding RNA from Clupea harengus (Atlantic herring), 509 nucleotides. The record is from Ensembl. Lineage: Eukaryota; Metazoa; Chordata; Actinopteri; Clupeiformes; Clupeidae.